GCGGGUGUAGUUCAAUGGUAGAACAUUGGCCUUCCAAGCCGAAUGCGAGGGUUCGAUUCCCUUCACCCGCU
This 71-nucleotide transfer RNA is filed under the name Marininema mesophilum. RNAcentral describes it as "Thermoactinomycetaceae bacterium SCSIO 10219 tRNA". It matches the Rfam family "tRNA". From Rfam's summary of the family: Transfer RNA (tRNA) molecules are approximately 80 nucleotides in length. Their secondary structure includes four short double-helical elements and three loops (D, anti-codon, and T loops). Further hydrogen bonds mediate the characteristic L-shaped molecular structure. tRNAs have two regions of fundamental functional importance: the anti-codon, which is responsible for specific mRNA codon recognition, and the 3' end, to which the tRNAs corresponding amino acid is attached (by aminoacyl-tRNA synthetases). tRNAs cope with the degeneracy of the genetic code in two manners: having more than one tRNA (with a specific anti-codon) for a particular amino acid; and 'wobble' base-pairing, i.e. permitting non-standard base-pairing at the 3rd anti-codon position. Lineage: Bacteria; Bacillati; Bacillota; Bacilli; Caryophanales; Thermoactinomycetaceae. The record is from Rfam by way of RNAcentral.